AUUAUUUUAGUUUAAAUAAAAUAUCUACUUUGGAAGUAGAAGAUUCCAAAAAUAACA
Molecule: transfer RNA, 57 nt
Filed under: Gnathostomula paradoxa
Lineage: Eukaryota; Metazoa; Gnathostomulida; Bursovaginoidea; Gnathostomulidae
Description: tRNA-Pro
Source: RNAcentral